This is a small nucleolar RNA of Jaculus jaculus (lesser Egyptian jerboa), 72 nucleotides long. RefSeq annotates it as small nucleolar RNA SNORD5. Lineage: Eukaryota; Metazoa; Chordata; Mammalia; Rodentia; Dipodidae. The transcript has a single exon. The record is from RefSeq and is a predicted model, not a curated record.
GUUCCCAUGAUGAAUUAAACUUUUUAGCUGCUGAAUCAUAUAGAUAUGAAUUAAAACUUAAGUCUGAUAGAA